RNAcentral lists this transfer RNA (73 nucleotides) under Ailuropoda melanoleuca (giant panda). It matches the Rfam family "tRNA". From Rfam's summary of the family: Transfer RNA (tRNA) molecules are approximately 80 nucleotides in length. Lineage: Eukaryota; Metazoa; Chordata; Mammalia; Carnivora; Ursidae. The record is from Rfam by way of RNAcentral.
GCCUGGAUGGCUCAGUUGGUGGAGCAUGGGACCCCUGAUCUCAGGGUUGUGAGUUCGAGCCCCACUUUUGGUG